RNAcentral lists this small RNA (465 nucleotides) under Pan troglodytes (chimpanzee). Its description in RNAcentral is "sense intronic". Lineage: Eukaryota; Metazoa; Chordata; Mammalia; Primates; Hominidae. The record is from RNAcentral.
CAGUGAUGCCCAGCAGAACAUCUCUUCCUUCUUAGUCAGAUGUCCCUUGGGAGUAGUUGUGCAAGGUUAAUUCUUUGCCUGGUAGAAGACUGUGGUGCAUUUUGGAUUAUAUUUUGUCUGUGAGAUCUUAGGUUGGUUCUUCAGAUGUUAGCCUUCUACUGGGGCAAUAUUUCUUUUUCUGUGUUUAUUUGUUGUUAUUGACUUCGAAUAUAAUUGCAUUGUUGUCAAAAGAUGUGGUCUGCGUGAUUGUAGUUCUUUGAUAUUUGUUGAGACUUUCAUUAUGGUCUAGUUUUAGUUAAUUUUUAUAAGCUUCAUAUGCUUGAGGAUAAUGUGUAUUCUGUAAUUUAAAUAUAUAUUAAAUUAGCCUUGAUAACCAUCCUGGUCUUCUGUAGCUUUAUUAAUUAAUUUUUUUGGUCUGCCUGAACUACCAAUACAUAAAAGAAAUGUAUUAAUCUCCCACUACAA